This 120-nucleotide ribosomal RNA is filed under the name Anolis carolinensis (green anole). Lineage: Eukaryota; Metazoa; Chordata; Lepidosauria; Squamata; Anolidae. The record is from RNAcentral.
GACAGCUUUAGGAGUGCCUCUAAAGACACCUGAUCCCAUCUGAUCUUGGAAGCUAAGUAGGGUCAGCCCUGGUUAGGACUUGAAUGGGAGAUCACCAAUGAAUACUAGGUGUUGUAGGCU